GAAAUUGAACUCGCUGUGAAGAUGCAGUGUACCCGCGGCAAGACGGAAAGACCCCGUGAACCUUUACUAUAGCUUGACACUGAACAUUGAGCCUUGAUGUGUAGGAUAGGUGGGAGGCUUUGAAGUGUGGACGCCAGUCUGCAUGGAGCCGACCUUGAAAUACCACCCUUUAAUGUUUGAUGUUCUAACGUGGACCCGUGAUCCGGGUUGCGGACAGUGUCUGGUGGGUAGUUUGACUGGGGCGGUCUCCUCCUAAAGAGUAACGGAGGAGCACGAAGGUUGGCUAAUCCUGGUCGGACAUCAGGAGGUUAGUGCAAUGGCAUAAGCCAGCUUGACUGCGAGCGUGACGGCGCGAGCAGGUGCGAAAGCAGGUCAUAGUGAUCCGGUGGUUCUGAAUGGAAGGGCCAUCGCUCAACGGAUAAAAGGUACUCCGGGGAUAACAGGCUGAUACCGCCCAAGAGUUCAUAUCGACGGCGGUGUUUGGCACCUCGAUGUCGGCUCAUCACAUCCUGGGGCUGAAGUAGGUCCCAAGGGUAUGGCUGUUCGCCAUUUAAAGUGGUACGCGAGCUGGGUUUAGAACGUCGUGAGACAGUUCGGUCCCUAUCUGCCGUGGGCGCUGGAGAACUGAGGGGGGCUGCUCCUAGUACGAGAGGACCGGAGUGGACGCAUCACUGGUGUUCGGGUUGUCAUGCCAAUGGCACUGCCCGGUAGCUAAAUGCGGAAGAGAUAAGUGCUGAAAGCAUCUAAGCACGAAACUUGCCCCGAGAUGAGUUCUCCCUGACCCUUUAAGGGUCCUGAAGGAACGUUGAAGACGACGACGUUGAUAGGCCGGGUGUGUAAGCGCAGCGAUGCGUUGAGCUAACCGGUACUAAUGAACCGUGAGGCUUAACCUU
This 893-nucleotide ribosomal RNA is filed under the name Escherichia coli. RNAcentral's name for it is "partial 23S ribosomal RNA". It matches the Rfam family "Bacterial large subunit ribosomal RNA", at positions 2038 to 2925 of the family's 2925-position model. Lineage: Bacteria; Pseudomonadati; Pseudomonadota; Gammaproteobacteria; Enterobacterales; Enterobacteriaceae. The record is from RNAcentral. RNAcentral also lists the same sequence under 1 other name.